Molecule: non-coding RNA, 1932 nt
Organism: Lepisosteus oculatus (spotted gar)
Lineage: Eukaryota; Metazoa; Chordata; Actinopteri; Semionotiformes; Lepisosteidae
Source: RefSeq, a predicted model, not a curated record
UCUCAUAUCAGCAACUCUUUUGUCUUUGCUAAUAAGUAACAAGAUAGGAAGAACCCCUAAAUGAUGCCCGACUGAGCUUGGAGGUUUUGCCCCUCUCUCACUUCAUUAAGAGACGCGUGUGACGGAUGCCUGACAAGCUAGCAGAUGGUGUGGGGCUUGAGCAGGAGGGCGGGCAGGAAGCACUGCAGCCACACUGAGGCAAGCAGAGAACAAGGAGACGCAGACCAGGCUGGGAGCUGCACAAAGCCCAGAGGGGUGCACAGCGCUGUUGAAUGGAACCCUCCUCCUGACACAAAUCCAUGUGGGGCUUCAGUGAAGCUGCCACCUUCCCUGGCUGCACUGAGAAAGCAAUGCAGUAAGUGUUCCUGUGAUGAUGCAGAGGCAGAACUCACUUGGCGUUUGAGGCUUAAGCUUGUGAACGGUAUCGGUUUCUCCAGAACAGGAGGAGAAGACAGAGGCAGGUCAUUUUUUUUUCUUUUUGAUCGUGCUAGCAACAAAACAGAAUACUUUUGUGCCAGUGCUUUUUUAAAGUGUAGGAGAGCUAGAUGCAGGUCAAGUUGGCUAUAACCAGGUGCGUCUUUCAUCUGUUCUAUGCUGUUGGGCAACAGGGAUGCCUGCUGCUCUUAUAUGGGAUUAAUACAAAGAAAGAUAAGCUAUCAGGAUGGUAGCAGAGAAAGACAAGAUCAAUGAAGACAGACGAAAGCAAUGGAGGACACAACACCAGAACCUGCCUUUGUCGACGUGGAUAAGGGGUUGACAUUAGCAUGCAUCGUCUUCCUCUGCCUGUUCCUGAUCGCCAUGAUUAUCCGCUGUGCCAAAGUCAUCAUGGACCCCUACAGUGCCAUUCCCACCUCCACCUGGGAGGAGCAGCACCUGGAUGAUUAGUGGUAACAAGGCCAGGCUGUGUGGCAUAGAGUAGCCAGUAUUAAAUCAGUCAGAUCUGACGUUUUAUUGAAUCCAAAAGAAGUCGCAGUCAUAAUGUUGCUAAGAAAAGGUAAAAAAAAUAUAAUUUCAUCCACUGAAAUCUGGGCAAAAUUAAUUCCAAGAUAAGUACCAUCAUCCAGAAGCAGCUGACUGGGAUUGUCUUUACGUCUUACAGUGUUACUUUCAGAUACAAUAUGUUUUUGGGACACAGACGCCGGUACAGGAGUGAGAAAGCAACUACAUCGCCGUUGCAUUUUUGUAAAAAAAUGUUGUACAAAUUUAUGCAUUGAAUUUCUCAGAGAACAAACAGAAGCUGACAGUACAAUUGAUUAAAAAUGCAUUACUUCCUGCAUCUAUGCUCAACAUGUGCAAAAAUAUCAAUUUUUGUAUAUUUUUUCUAAUUAUCAUACCCCACAGUCAGUAUGCCAAAGGGCCUCUGAGGAAUAGAAAUGAACAGGAGCCAAGAACUGUUUACCAGCAGAUGAAAUGUCAUUUAUGAAUUUGUACAGUACGCAUAGAGGUGUAAAAACCACAUUCGUAGUGGUUGGUUUACACAGCUGUAGGAGUAGAAUUUGAUGCCUCUGUUUUAAUUUUACCACCAUGUAGCAGGAAGAAGAUGCAAUAGAACAUGCUGUACCUACUCCUGGGAUAGUUCUUUAUUAAUGCACUGGUUGAGUUUUCAACUUUCUUUUUUUGUGAUGAAUUAACUAAAUUCACUACUUUGCUACUCAGGCUUGCAUACUGCAAUCAUUUUGUUGUAAUAAUCCUGGUUUCUCCCAGAAGCAUCUAUCGAUAUAAACUUGCAGCUUUCUCUCAAGGCUAUGUUCUGAAACGCAUGUAGUCAAGUGCCUCAGCUACAAACACAAAUAAUUUUUCAGCCUUUAAAAUGAAUGAAUGCACUGUUAGAAAACUCGAACUUAUUAUAAAAUAUAUGUCUGGUUUGUGUAAAAUAAACGAGAAAAACAUUUAGCUAACUUAUUGUUAUACUCUUAAUAAAUAAAAUAAUAA